Molecule: ribosomal RNA, 497 nt
Filed under: uncultured bacterium
Lineage: Bacteria
Description: partial 16S ribosomal RNA
Rfam family: Bacterial small subunit ribosomal RNA
Source: RNAcentral
GACGAACGCUGGCGGCGUGCCUAAUACAUGCAAGUAGAACGCUGAAGAGAGGAGCUUGCUCUUCUUGGAUGAGUUGCGAACGGGUGAGUAACGCGUAGGUAACCUGCCUGGUAGCGGGGGAUAACUAUUGGAAACGAUAGCUAAUACCGCAUAACAACAGUUGUUGCAUUACAGCUGUUUAAAAGAUGCAAUUGCAUCACUACCAGAUGGACCUGCGUUGUAUUAGCUAGUUGGUGAGGUAACGGCUCACCAAGGCGACGAUACAUAGCCGACCUGAGAGGGUGAUCGGCCACACUGGGACUGAGACACGGCCCAGACUCCUACGGGAGGCAGCAGUAGGGAAUCUUCGGCAAUGGGGGGAACCCUGACCGAGCAACGCCGCGUGAGGGAAGAAGGGUUUCGGAUCGUAAAGCUCUGUUGUAAGAGAAGAACGGGUGUGAGAGUGGAAAGUUCACACUGUGACGGUACCUUAGCAGAAAGGUACGGCUAACUACGUG